Molecule: ribosomal RNA, 1236 nt
Filed under: Triticum aestivum (bread wheat)
Lineage: Eukaryota; Viridiplantae; Streptophyta; Magnoliopsida; Poales; Poaceae
Description: partial small subunit ribosomal RNA
Source: RNAcentral
AUGGGGAUUCUUCAUCGUGUAAUGCUUUCCAACCCGGUGGCCCUGCAUAUAGAGCUUGAGCAGCGCCAGCGAGUAGUUUCAGACGAUAGAUGGAAUGCUGAAAAGAAUUGGAAAAUCUUACCACGAAAUGUAUAUAUUCUGCUUAAAGUUGCAAUCUUUCACCAUUCCUUGUUCAUGAUUCGAAUCGAAAACACAGUUGCCACAAAUGAGGGAUGCAAGCCAUCCAACCCAAUGAAUGAACCAAAAAAGAAAAGAAAAGAAACAACAAACAAACAAGUUUCAGCCGGUGAUCAUGGUGCCGGUGCCCUCGUCGGUGAGGAUUUCGAGCAGGAGAGAGUGCGGGACGCGGCCGUCAAUGAUGCUGGCCGUGUGCACGCCCUGCGCCAGUGCGCGCACGCAGCACUCCACCUUGGGUAUCAUGCCCCCACCCACUUUCCCCUCGGCCACCAUCUGCCGUACGCCGGCGAUAUCAAUCUCCUUCACCAGGCUACCGGGGUCAUCCCGGUCCGCGAGUAUGCCGGACACGUCGGUGAUCAGAAGCAGCUUCUCGGCGCCAAUGGCAGCUGCGAUCUCCCCCGCCGCAGUGUCGGCGUUGAUGUUAUAGGCCUGCCCGGUCUCGUCGGCAGCCACGGUGGCGAUGACCGGGAUGUGGCCGGAGGCGAUGAUCGGGUGGAGCACCGAGGGGUCGACGCGCGUGACCUCGCCGACGAACCCAAGGGCUGCCGCGUCGGGGGAAGGGCGCGCAGUGAGGAGGCGCGCGUCCUUGCCGCAGAGGCCGACGGCGGUGGCGCCGGCGAGGCUGAUGAGGGAGACGAGCUGCUUGUUGACCUUGCCGACCAGCACCAUCUCCACGACCUCCAUGGUGAGCGCGUCGGUGACGCGGAGGCCGUUGCGGAACUGCGGCUCGACGCCGACGCGCUGCAGCCAGGAGUUGAUCUCCGGGCCGCCGCCGUGCACGAGCACGGGGCGCAGGCCGACGCAGGAGAGGAGGACCAGGUCGCGGAUCACGGACGCCUGCAGCUCCGGCGACUUCAUGGCCGCGCCGCCGUACUUCACCACCACCGUCUUGCCCUUGAACCGCUGGAUGAAGGGGAGCGCCUCCGACAGGACGUCCACACGGUUCAGCGCCGCGGACGCGGCCUGCGCUGGCGCCAGGGAGGAGGAGGCCGAGACGCGGAGCCCGCGGCGUCCAUGGGGCGCGGACGAGGCGAGGGGCCGGACGCGGGCGGCGUUUAG